GAUGAACGCUAGCGGCAGGCUUAACACAUGCAAGUCGAGGGGUAACAGGGAAGUUCGCUUUCGCUGACGACCGGCGCACGGGUGAGUAUCGCGUUUGUAACCUACCUCAAACUGGAAGAUAGCCCGAAGAAAUUCGGAUUAAUAUUCCAUAAUACUAUAGUUUGGCAUCGUUUUAUAGUUAAAGCUCCGGCGGUUUGAGAUGGGCAUGCGUAACAUUAGCUAGUUGGUGAGGUAACGGCUCACCAAGGCUACGAUGUUUAGGGGGUCUGAGAGGAUGGUCCCCCACACUGGUACUGAGACACGGACCAGACUCCUACGGGAGGCAGCAGUGAGGAAUAUUGGUCAAUGGGCGCAAGCCUGAACCAGCCAUGCCGCGUGAAGGAUGACGGCGCUAUGCGUUGUAAACUUCUUUUAUAAGGGAAGAAACCCCCGGACGUGUUCGGGGUUGACGGUACCUUACGAAUAAGCAUCGGCUAACUCCGUGCCAGCAGCCGCGGUAAUACGGAGGAUGCAAGCGUUAUCCGGAUUUAUUGGGUUUAAAGGGUGCGUAGGCGGAAAAUUAAGUCAGUGAUGAAAUCCUGCGGCUCAACCGUAGAACUGUUAUUGAUACUG
RNAcentral lists this ribosomal RNA (612 nucleotides) under uncultured bacterium. Its description in RNAcentral is "bacterial SSU rRNA". It matches the Rfam family "Bacterial small subunit ribosomal RNA", at positions 28 to 635 of the family's 1533-position model. The record is from RNAcentral.